This 515-nucleotide ribosomal RNA is filed under the name uncultured bacterium. Its description in RNAcentral is "partial 16S ribosomal RNA". It matches the Rfam family "Bacterial small subunit ribosomal RNA", at positions 28 to 523 of the family's 1533-position model. The record is from RNAcentral.
GAUGAACGCUGGCGGCGUGCCUAAUACAUGCAAGUCGAGCGAAUGGAUUAAGAGCUUGCUCUUAUGAAGUUAGCGGCGGACGGGUGAGUAACACGUGGGUAACCUGCCCAUAAGAGUGGGAUAACUCCGGGAAACCGGGGCUAAUACCGGAUAACAUUUUGAACCGCAUGGUUCGAAAUUGAAAGGCGGCUUCGGCUGUCACUUAUGGAUGGACCCGCGUCGCAUUAGCUAGUUGGUGAGGUAACGGCUCACCAAGGCAACGAGGCGUAGCCGACCUGGGAGGGGGAGCGGCCACACUGGGACUGAGACACGGCCCAGACUCCUACGGGAGGCAGCAGUAGGGAAUCUUCCGCAAUGGACGAAAGUCUGACGGAGCAACGCCGCGUGAGUGAUGAAGGCUUUCGGGUCGUAAAACUCUGUUGUUGGGGAAGAACAAGUGCUAGUUGAAUAAGCUGGCACCUUGACGGUACCUAACCAGAAAGCCACGGCUAACUACGUGCCAGCAGCCGCAGUAA